Molecule: long non-coding RNA, 261 nt
Organism: Cucumis sativus (cucumber)
Lineage: Eukaryota; Viridiplantae; Streptophyta; Magnoliopsida; Cucurbitales; Cucurbitaceae
Exons: 3
Source: RefSeq, a predicted model, not a curated record
GAUUUCUCCUCCAGUUGGUUAAAGGAAACCUAACGGGAAGGCAGAUUUGUUGACGAGUUGCCUUACAUACUAAAUGAUGAUGACUACAUAUCGAAGUAUCGAGCCAGCCUAAAAGCUGCAGUUCUCAGGGCAAAAGCAUGUUCUUGAGCUUUAUUUGAAGGGUAUGAUGUUUGCAUAUCAGCUCACGCUCAACCACCACCUAAAACUCUAUCCCUGAUAGUCAAGUCAACCGGUGGAAAUGUGAUUCAUGAGCUAGAUAAA